RNAcentral lists this ribosomal RNA (443 nucleotides) under uncultured Mitsuokella sp. Its description in RNAcentral is "bacterial SSU rRNA". It matches the Rfam family "Bacterial small subunit ribosomal RNA", at positions 356 to 791 of the family's 1533-position model. The record is from RNAcentral. Lineage: Bacteria; Bacillati; Bacillota; Negativicutes; Selenomonadales; Selenomonadaceae.
GGGGAAUCUUCCGCAAUGGGCGCAAGCCUGACGGAGCAACGCCGCGUGAGUGAAGAAGGGUUUCGACUCGUAAAGCUCUGUUGUCGGGGACGAAUGUGGAGAUGGUGAAUAACCGUUUCCAAUGACGGUACCUGACGAGGAAGCCACGGCUAACUACGUGCCAGCAGCCGCGGUAAUACGGAGGAUGCGAGCGUUAUCCGGAUUUAUUGGGUUUAAAGGGUGCGCAGGCGGCGCGAAAAGUCAGCGGUCAAAGUUCCGGGCUCAACCCGGUGACGCCGUUGAAACUUUCGUGCUGGAGUUCGUGCGAGGGAGGCGGAAUGCGUUGUGUAGCGGUGAAAUGCAUAGAUAUGACGCAGAACCCCGAUUGCGAAGGCAGCUUUCCAGCACGCGACUGACGCUGAGGCACGAAAGCGUGGGGAGCGAACAGGAUUAGAUACCCUGGU